Molecule: unclassified non-coding RNA, 342 nt
Filed under: soil metagenome
Description: partial contains 5.8S ribosomal RNA, internal transcribed spacer 2, and large subunit ribosomal RNA
Rfam family: 5.8S ribosomal RNA (bases 1-120)
Source: RNAcentral
GAUGAAGAACGCAGCGAAAUGCGAAAAGUAGUGUGAAUUGCAGAAUUCAGUGAAUCAUCGAAUCUUUGAACGCACAUUGCGGCCAUAGGUAUUCCUUUGGCCAUGCCUGUUCGAGCGUCAUUUACACCCUCAAGCCUAGCUUGGUGUUGGGCGUCUGUCCCGCCGUUUUCGCGCGCGGACUCGCCUCAAAGUCAUUGGCGGCGGUCGUGCCGGCCCCCUCGCGCAGCACAUUUGCGCUUCUCGGAGGCCCGGCGGAUCCGCGCUCCAGCAAGACCUUUCACGACUUGACCUCGGAUCAGGUAGGGAUACCCGCUGAACUUAAGCAUAUCAAUAAGCGGAGGA